GCAGGAAUUGUAGUGGUGAAAGGAUAAAUAUUGAUCUCCCGGUGUCAAUCUUGCCAAGGUUGAAGUCGCGAGUUCGAAUCUCGUUUCCCGCUCCA
This 95-nucleotide transfer RNA is filed under the name Desulfuromonadaceae bacterium. Its description in RNAcentral is "tRNA-Ser". Lineage: Bacteria; Pseudomonadati; Thermodesulfobacteriota; Desulfuromonadia; Desulfuromonadales; Desulfuromonadaceae. The record is from RNAcentral.